AAGGAUCAUUACUGUGAUUUAACAUCUUCCACACGUGCGUGAGCGCAAGCAAAACACGAAAAAACUGUAGUACGAGAGUCAAAACAAACCAAAAAACAAAACUUUCAACAACGGAUCUCUUGGUUCUCGCAUCGAUGAAGAGCGCAGCGAAAUGCGAUACCUAGUGUGAAUUGCAGCCAUCGUGAAUCAUCGAGUUCUUGAACGCACAUUGCGCCCUCUGGUAUUCCGGAGGGCAUGCCUGUUUGAGCGUCGUUUCCUUCUUGCUUGCGAGCAGAAAUGGGGGGGCCCUGGCAUUGGGGCCGCUCUGAAAAGAAACGUUGCGGGCGAAGCGAACUAUGAGUAGGACGCUUGGCCGCCGAACUUAAUACAUAAGCUCGACCUCAAAUCAGGUAGGAAUACCCGCUGAACUUAAGCAUAUCAAUAAGCGGAGGAAAAGAAACCAACAGGGAUUGCCUCAGUAGCGGCGAGUGAAGCGGCAAAAGCUCAGAUUUGAAAUCGUGUUUCGGCACGAGUUGUAGAUUGCAGGUUGGAGUCUUUGUGGAAGCGUGUGUCUAAGUCCCUUGGAACAGGGUGCCAUUGAGGGUGAGAGCCCCGUGAGACGCGUGCGGAAGCUGUAAGGCCCUUCUGACGAGUCGAGUUGUUUGGGAAUGCAGCUCUAAGUGGGUGGUAAAUUCCAUCUAAGGCUAAAUAUUGGCGAGAGACCGAUAGCGAACAAGUACUGUGAAGGAAAGAUGAAAAGCACUUUGAAAAGAGAGUGAAACAGCACGUGAAAUUGUUGAAAGGGAAGGGUAUUGGGCUCGACAUGGGAUUUGCGCACCGCUGCUCCUUGUGGGCGGCGCUCUGUGCUUUUCCUGGGCCAGCAUCGGUUUUUGCCGCAGGAGAAGGCGUGCUGGAAUGUGGCUCUUCGGAGUGUUAUAGCCAGUGCGAGAUGCUGCGUGCGGGGACCGAGGACUGCGACAUCUGUCUCGGAUGCUGGCACAACGGCGCAAUACCGCCCGUCUUGAAACAUGGACCAAGGAGUCUAACGUCUAUGCGAGUGUUUGGGUGUGAAACCCGUACGCGUAAUGAAAGUGAACGUAGGUCGGACCCUUUGGGGGCACGAUCGACCGAUCCUGAUG
RNAcentral lists this ribosomal RNA (1118 nucleotides) under Pichia occidentalis. Its description in RNAcentral is "eukaryotic LSU rRNA". The stretch from base 376 to 1118 matches the Rfam family "Eukaryotic large subunit ribosomal RNA", at positions 1 to 776 of the family's 3401-position model. The record is from RNAcentral. Lineage: Eukaryota; Fungi; Ascomycota; Pichiomycetes; Pichiales; Pichiaceae.